This 301-nucleotide ribosomal RNA is filed under the name uncultured bacterium. RNAcentral's name for it is "partial 16S ribosomal RNA". It matches the Rfam family "Bacterial small subunit ribosomal RNA", at positions 509 to 809 of the family's 1533-position model. The record is from RNAcentral.
CAGCCGCCACGGUAAUACGAAGGGGGCUAGCGUUGUUCGGAUUUACUGGGCGUAAAGGGCGCGUAGGCGGGCUGAUCAGUCAGGGGUGAAAUCCCAAGGCUCAACCUUGGAACUGCCUUUGAUACUGUCGGUCUUGAGUUCGAGAGAGGUAAGUGGAACUGCGAGUGUAGAGGUGAAAUUCGUAGAUAUUCGCAAGAACACCAGUGGCGAAGGCGGCUUACUGGCUCGAAACUGACGCUGAGGCGCGAAAGCGUGGGGAGCAAACAGGAUUAGAUACCCCAGUAGUCCCUGUCUCUUAUAA